RNAcentral lists this ribosomal RNA (1425 nucleotides) under Triticum aestivum (bread wheat). RNAcentral's name for it is "partial small subunit ribosomal RNA". Lineage: Eukaryota; Viridiplantae; Streptophyta; Magnoliopsida; Poales; Poaceae. The record is from RNAcentral.
AUGGCGGUGUGCGCGGAGCUGAACCAGCUGCAGCACAUCGAGCCCUCCCGCUUCAUCUCCUUCUCCUUCCCCAACCCUUUCCUCCACGACGCCUCCAACCCUUACAGCGACGCCGACGACCACGCGGAGUUCCUCCGGGUGGCCGUUGUCGACUCCCCUGCCCCCGCGGCGCCAUCCCCGACCGCGCCGAGGACGGCGGCGAUGCUCGUCCCGGCCGGCCGGCACCGGGACUGGAUCUUCUCCACCCGCGCCGGGCAGCUCCACCUCCUCCUCUCCUCCCGAUCCCAGUGCACAAUCUCUCGCCUUAUACUCGUCGGCCCAGAGAUCCCCACUCCCUCCCCUCGGGUCGUUUGCUCCGCCGCCGCUCGCCCGGACCCGGAUCCUGCUCGCGCGCGGCUCCUCCCCCUCCUCCUGGCCCUCUGCCCCAGGGCUGCGUUUGGCAACGGUGCCAUCCCUGACGUCCCGCUGCUCUCCUUCCACGACGACCUCCUUCGGCUUGUUCCUGUCCAGCUUGUCGCCGGUCCUGUCGUCGGCGAGAUGCUUGUCGAGGAUGUGGCCGUGGACUGCGCUCCUGGCCCGGCCGAGUUGCGCCGGAGGCUGCGUUUCAAGCGCAUGCCGUGCCUUAUACAGACCCAGGUGCGCCUUGCCUGGCCAAUGUCUGCUGCUGCUUCUGCUGCUUCUUCGUUGUUGGAGGCAUUGGAGGAGGGGCCUGCUAGUUCGUUACAGCCUGAGGUGGGUGGACCAUUAGUCCAGCCUUACCUCCAGGCCAUGGUUGCCGGCCUUGCACUCAUCGACUCAUCGGUGGAGGAGAAUGCUCGGUCAGGUGCAAGGCCGAGGUGCCUCUGCGCUGGCAUUGGUGGUGGAGCUCUUCCAAUGUCCAUCAGGGUGGGACUUGGCUUCGAUGUACUGGGCGUCGAGUCUGAUUGUGUUGUCCUAGACGUCGCAAGGAACUAUUUUGGACUGGUGGAGGAUGAGUUCCUUCAUGUACGUGUUGGCGAUGCUAUUCAAAUGAUUCAGGAUUUUGCACAUGGAGAUGAGCCUGAUUCGAAAUUCAGUGCAAUUAUGGUGGAUCUUGACUCCCCUGAUGCAAUGUGUGGUGUCAGUGCGCCGCCAUUGGAGAUGACCCAUAGAAGCAUCCUUCUUGCUGCACGCAGAAUUCUACAUCAUGAUGGAGUGCUGGUACUGAAUGUAAUCCCUCCUGCUGCUGAUGCAUCCUUCUACAAAGGGCUGAUUGAUGUUCUUCACCAGGUUUUCUCUGAGUUAUAUGAGAUAGAUGUUGGUAAUGGUGAAAAUUUUGUUCUUGUUGCCAGAGUGUCACCGACUGAAAGCACCCUUCUUGAUAGUUCAAGGCUCUUUCGGACGGAAUUGAGGAAAUUAACUGGGGAUUUUUUGGAACGUAUAAGAAAAGUUGAAAUUCCAAGUUAG